Transfer RNA from Astyanax mexicanus (Mexican tetra), 72 nucleotides. It matches the Rfam family "tRNA". Rfam says of the family: Transfer RNA (tRNA) molecules are approximately 80 nucleotides in length. Their secondary structure includes four short double-helical elements and three loops (D, anti-codon, and T loops). Lineage: Eukaryota; Metazoa; Chordata; Actinopteri; Characiformes; Acestrorhamphidae. The record is from Rfam.
GGCAUUGUGGCCAAAUGGCAAGGUGUCGAUCUCGUAAACCGAAGAUCACGGGUUCGACCCCCGUCCGUGCCU